This 445-nucleotide ribosomal RNA is filed under the name uncultured bacterium. Its description in RNAcentral is "partial 16S ribosomal RNA". It matches the Rfam family "Bacterial small subunit ribosomal RNA", at positions 354 to 796 of the family's 1533-position model. The record is from RNAcentral.
GUGAGGAAUAUUGGUCAAUGGGCGAAAGCCUGAACCAGCCAUGUCGCGUGAAGGAUGAAGGUCCUAUGGAUUGUAAACUUCUUUUGCAGGAGGGUAAAGUGAGCUACGUGUAGUUCAUUGCAAGUACCCUGCGAAUAAGCAUCGGCUAACUCCGUGCCAGCAGCCGCGGUAAUACGGAGGAUGCGAGCGUUAUCCGGAUUUAUUGGGUUUAAAGGGUGCGUAGGCGGACUAAUUAGUCAGCGGUGAAAUUUUGCGGCUCAACCGUAAAACUGCCGUUGAAACUGUUAGUCUUGAGUGCGGUAGAGGUAGGCGGAAUGUGUGGUGUAGCGGUGAAAUGCUUAGAUAUCACACAGAACACCGAUUGCGUAGGCAGCUUACUGGGAUGCAACUGACACUGAUGCACGAAAGCGUGGGUAUCAAACAGGAUUAGAAACCCGGGUAGUCC